This 406-nucleotide ribosomal RNA is filed under the name uncultured bacterium. Its description in RNAcentral is "partial 16S ribosomal RNA". It matches the Rfam family "Bacterial small subunit ribosomal RNA", at positions 30 to 526 of the family's 1533-position model. The record is from RNAcentral.
AUUGAACGCUGGCGGCAGGCCUAACACAUGCAAGUCGAACGAGUGGCGGACGGGUGAGUAAUGUCUGGGAAACUGCCUGAUGGAGGGGGAUAACUACUGGAAACGGUAGCUAAUACCGCAUACCAUCGGAUGUGCCCAGAUGGGAUUAGCUAGUAGGUGGGGUAAAGGCUCACCUAGGCGACGAUCCCUAGCUGGUCUGAGAGGAUGACCAGCCAACCUGGAACGGAGACACGGUCCAGACUCCUACGGGAGGCAGCAUUGGGGAAUAUUGCACAAUGGGCGCAAGCCUGAUGCAGCCAUGCGGCGUGGAUGGAGACGGCCUUCGUGUUGUAAAGUACGUUCGGCGGAGAGGCGUUACCCGCAGAAGAAGCACCGGCUAACUCCGUGCCAGCAGCCGCGGUAAUUC